UACGUAGGUGGCAAGCGUUGUCCGGAAUUAUUGGGCGUAAAGCGCGCGCAGGCGGUCUUUUAAGUCUGAUGUGAAAGCCCACGGCUCAACCGUGGAGGGUCAUUGGAAACUGGGGGGACUUGAGUGCAGAAGAGGAAAGUGGAAUUCCAAGUGUAGCGGUGAAAUGCGUAGAGAUUUGGAGGAACACCAGUGGCGAAGGGCGAACUUUCUGGUCUGUAACUGACGCUGAGGCGCGAAAGCGUGGGGAGCAAACAGGG
Molecule: ribosomal RNA, 257 nt
Filed under: uncultured bacterium
Lineage: Bacteria
Description: partial 16S ribosomal RNA
Rfam family: Bacterial small subunit ribosomal RNA
Source: RNAcentral